This 1438-nucleotide ribosomal RNA is filed under the name uncultured organism. RNAcentral's name for it is "SSU rRNA". It matches the Rfam family "Bacterial small subunit ribosomal RNA". The record is from RNAcentral.
AGGCUUAACACAUGCAAGUCGAGGGGCAGCAUGGUCUUAGCUUGCUAAGACUGAUGGCGACCGGCGCACGGGUGAGUAACACGUAUCCAACCUGCCGUCUACUCUUGGACAGCCUUCUGAAAGGAAGAUUAAUACAAGAUGGCAUCAUGAGUCCGCAUGUUCACAUGAUUAAAGGUAUUCCGGUAGACGAUGGGGAUGCGUUCCAUUAGAUAGUAGGCGGGGUAACGGCCCACCUAGUCUUCGAUGGAUAGGGGUUCUGAGAGGAAGGUCCCCCACAUUGGAACUGAGACACGGUCCAAACUCCUACGGGAGGCAGCAGUGAGGAAUAUUGGUCAAUGGGCGAGAGCCUGAACCAGCCAAGUAGCGUGAAGGAUGACUGCCCUAUGGGUUGUAAACUUCUUUUAUAAAGGAAUAAAGUCGGGUAUGCAUACCCGUUUGCAUGUACUUUAUGAAUAAGGAUCGGCUAACUCCGUGCCAGCAGCCGCGGUAAUACGGAGGAUCCGAGCGUUAUCCGGAUUUAUUGGGUUUAAAGGGAGCGUAGAUGGAUGUUUAAGUCAGUUGUGAAAGUUUGCGGCUCAACCGUAAAAUUGCAGUUGAUACUGGAUAUCUUGAGUGCAGUUGAGGCAGGCGGAAUUCGUGGUGUAGCGGUGAAAUGCUUAGAUAUCACGAAGAACUCCGAUUGCGAAGGCAGCCUGCUAAGCUGCAACUGACAUUGAGGCUCGAAAGUGUGGGUAUCAAACAGGAUUAGAUACCCUGGUAGUCCACACGGUAAACGAUGAAUACUCGCUGUUUGCGAUAUACUGCAAGCGGCCAAGCGAAAGCGUUAAGUAUUCCACCUGGGGAGUACGCCGGCAACGGUGAAACUCAAAGGAAUUGACGGGGGCCCGCACAAGCGGAGGAACAUGUGGUUUAAUUCGAUGAUACGCGAGGAACCUUACCCGGGCUUAAAUUGCAGAUGAAUUACGGUGAAAGCCGUAAGCCGCAAGGCAUCUGUGAAGGUGCUGCAUGGUUGUCGUCAGCUCGUGCCGUGAGGUGUCGGCUUAAGUGCCAUAACGAGCGCAACCCUUGUUGUCAGUUACUAACAGGUUCCGCUGAGGACUCUGACAAGACUGCCAUCGUAAGAUGUGAGGAAGGUGGGGAUGACGUCAAAUCAGCACGGCCCUUACGUCCGGGGCUACACACGUGUUACAAUGGGGGGUACAGAGGGCCGCUACCACGCGAGUGGAUGCCAAUCCCCAAAACCUCUCUCAGUUCGGACUGGAGUCUGCAACCCGACUCCACGAAGCUGGAUUCGCUAGUAAUCGCGCAUCAGCCACGGCGCGGUGAAUACGUUCCCGGGCCUUGUACACACCGCCCGUCAAGCCAUGGGAGCCGGGGGUACCUGAAGUGCGUAACCGAGAGGAGCGCCCUAGGGUAAAACUGGUGACUGGGGCUAAGU